RNAcentral lists this ribosomal RNA (233 nucleotides) under Giardia duodenalis. RNAcentral's name for it is "Giardia intestinalis partial small subunit ribosomal RNA". Lineage: Eukaryota; Fornicata; Diplomonadida; Hexamitidae. The record is from RNAcentral.
CCCAAGGACGAAGCCAUGCAUGCCCGCUCACCCGGGACGCGGCGGACGGCUCAGGACGACGGUUGCACCCCUUGCGGCGGUCCCUGCUAGCCGGACACCGCUGGCAACCCGGCGCCAAGACGUGCGCGCAAGGGCGGGCGCCCGCGGGCGAGCAGCGUGACGCAGCGACGGCCCGCCCGGGCUUCCGGGGCAUCACCCGGUCGCCGCGGUCGCGGCGCGCCGAGGGCCCGACG